GGGCCCUUAGCUCAGGUGGACAGAGCAUCGGACUACGAAUCCGGGGGUCAGAGGUUCGAAUCCUCUAGGGCCCACCA
Molecule: transfer RNA, 77 nt
Filed under: Candidatus Rokuibacteriota bacterium
Lineage: Bacteria; Candidatus Rokuibacteriota
Also listed under: 2 other names
Description: Candidatus Rokubacteria bacterium tRNA-Arg
Rfam family: tRNA
About the family: Transfer RNA (tRNA) molecules are approximately 80 nucleotides in length. Their secondary structure includes four short double-helical elements and three loops (D, anti-codon, and T loops).
Source: RNAcentral